Molecule: signal recognition particle RNA, 265 nt
Filed under: Lachnospiraceae bacterium
Lineage: Bacteria; Bacillati; Bacillota; Clostridia; Lachnospirales; Lachnospiraceae
Description: signal recognition particle sRNA large type
Rfam family: Bacterial large signal recognition particle RNA
About the family: The signal recognition particle (SRP) is a universally conserved ribonucleoprotein involved in the co-translational targeting of proteins to membranes.
Source: RNAcentral
UUGCGCAGCCGGGGAAGUAGCGGCUCCUUGUACCUGAAAUCCGCUAUAGCAGGGGUGAUAUCCGGCAGAGGGUGAUCUUGGGAGGCAGCAGCCCGGCGGGGUGUGUGUUGAGACCCGGGUCUUACGCAACAAGGCGCUGUGAACCGUGUCAGGCCAGGAAUGGAGCAGCACUAAGCGGAUGCCCUUGUGUGCCGUAAGGGUGCCUGUGUUGAGCACAUCGUGCCGAAAGCGUACCUAACGGAUCAUUCGAAGCCGGAUUGCGCUA